RNAcentral lists this ribosomal RNA (1141 nucleotides) under Leuconostoc mesenteroides. RNAcentral's name for it is "bacterial SSU rRNA". It matches the Rfam family "Bacterial small subunit ribosomal RNA", at positions 55 to 1178 of the family's 1533-position model. Lineage: Bacteria; Bacillati; Bacillota; Bacilli; Lactobacillales; Lactobacillaceae. The record is from RNAcentral.
AUGCAAGUCGAACGCACAGCGAAGGGUGCUUGCACCUUUCAAGUGAGUGGCGAACGGGUGAGUAACACGUGGACAACCUGCCUCAAGGCUGGGGAUAACAUUUGGAAACAGAUGCUAAUACCGAAUAAAACUUAGUGUCGCAUGACAAAAAGUUAAAAGGCGCUUCGGCGUCACCUAGAGAUGGAUCCGCGGUGCAUUAGUUAGUUGGUGGGGUAAAGGCCUACCAAGACAAUGAUGCAUAGCCGAGUUGAGAGACUGAUCGGCCACAUUGGGACUGAGACACGGCCCAAACUCCUACGGGAGGCUGCAGUAGGGAAUCUUCCACAAUGGGCGAAAGCCUGAUGGAGCAACGCCGCGUGUGUGAUGAAGGCUUUCGGGUCGUAAAGCACUGUUGUAUGGGAAGAACAGCUAGAAUAGGAAAUGAUUUUAGUUUGACGGUACCAUACCAGAAAGGGACGGCUAAAUACGUGCCAGCAGCCGCGGUAAUACGUAUGUCCCGAGCGUUAUCCGGAUUUAUUGGGCGUAAAGCGAGCGCAGACGGUUUAUUAAGUCUGAUGUGAAAGCCCGGAGCUCAACUCCGGAAUGGCAUUGGAAACUGGUUAACUUGAGUGCAGUAGAGGUAAGUGGAACUCCAUGUGUAGCGGUGGAAUGCGUAGAUAUAUGGAAGAACACCAGUGGCGAAGGCGGCUUACUGGACUGCAACUGACGUUGAGGCUCGAAAGUGUGGGUAGCAAACAGGAUUAGAUACCCUGGUAGUCCACACCGUAAACGAUGAACACUAGGUGUUAGGAGGUUUCCGCCUCUUAGUGCCGAAGCUAACGCAUUAAGUGUUCCGCCUGGGGAGUACGACCGCAAGGUUGAAACUCAAAGGAAUUGACGGGGACCCGCACAAGCGGUGGAGCAUGUGGUUUAAUUCGAAGCAACGCGAAGAACCUUACCAGGUCUUGACAUCCUUUGAAGCUUUUAGAGAUAGAAGUGUUCUCUUCGGAGACAAAGUGACAGGUGGUGCAUGGUCGUCGUCAGCUCGUGUCGUGAGAUGUUGGGUUAAGUCCCGCAACGAGCGCAACCCUUAUUGUUAGUUGCCAGCAUUCAGAUGGGCACUCUAGCGAGACUGCCGGUGACAAACCGGAGGAAGGGGGGG